AUACAAAUCACCUGGGGAACUUGUUAGACUACAGAUUUGUAUUCAGUAAAUCUCAGAUUCUGCUUUUCCAACAAGUUCCUGAGAUGUCAAA
Molecule: microRNA precursor, 91 nt
Filed under: Marmota monax (woodchuck)
Lineage: Eukaryota; Metazoa; Chordata; Mammalia; Rodentia; Sciuridae
Source: RNAcentral